Molecule: ribosomal RNA, 253 nt
Filed under: uncultured bacterium
Lineage: Bacteria
Description: partial 16S ribosomal RNA
Rfam family: Bacterial small subunit ribosomal RNA
Source: RNAcentral
UACGUAGGGGGCAAGCGUUGUCCGGAUUUAUUGGGCGUAAAGAGCGUGUAGGCGGCCUGGAAGGGCAGCUGUGAAAACUCGAGGCUCAACCUCGAGACGUCGGUUGAAACCACUUGGCUAGAGUCCGGAAGAGGAGUGUGGAAUUCCCGGUGUAGCGGUGAAAUGCGCAGAUAUCGGGAAGAACACCCGUGGCGAAGGCGGCACUCUGGGACGGUACUGACGCUGAGGCACGAAAGCGUGGGGAGCAAACAGG